RNAcentral lists this ribosomal RNA (819 nucleotides) under uncultured bacterium. RNAcentral describes it as "bacterial SSU rRNA". It matches the Rfam family "Bacterial small subunit ribosomal RNA", at positions 59 to 883 of the family's 1533-position model. The record is from RNAcentral.
CAGUCGAGGGGCAUCGGGGAUGUUAGCUUGCUAAUAUCUGCCGGCGACCGGCGCACGGGUGAGUAACGCGUAUGCGACCUGCCCGUUACAGGGGGAUAAUCCGGAGAAAUCCGGUCUAAUACCGCAUAAUAUCGUGAAGCUGCAUGGUUUUGCGAUUAAAGGAGCGAUCCGGUGACGGAUGGGCAUGCGUGACAUUAGCUAGUCGGCGGGGUAACGGCCCACCGAGGCGACGAUGUCUAGGGGUUCUGAGAGGAAGGUCCCCCACACUGGUACUGAGACACGGACCAGACUCCUACGGGAGGCAGCAGUGGGGAAUAUUGGGCAAUGGGCGCAAGCCUGACCCAGCAACGCCGCGUGAAGGAAGAAGGCUUUCGGGUUGUAAACUUCUUUUGUCAGGGACGAAGCAAGUGACGGUACCUGACGAAUAAGCCACGGCUAACUACGUGCCAGCAGCCGCGGUAAUACGUAGGUGGCAAGCGUUAUCCGGAUUUACUGGGUGUAAAGGGAGCGUAGACGGCAGUGCAAGUCUGGAGUGAAAGGCGGGGGCUCAACCCCCGGACUGCUCUGGAAACUGUACGGCUGGAGUGCAGGAGAGGUAAGUGGAAUUCCUAGUGUAGCGGUGAAAUGCGUAGAUAUUAGGAGGAACACCAGUGGCGAAGGCGGCUUACUGGACUGUAACUGACGUUGAGGCUCGAAAGCGUGGGGAGCAAACAGGAUUAGAUACCCUGGUAGUCCACGCCGUAAACGAUGCUCACUGGUUCUGUGCGAUAUACAGUACGGGAUUAAGCGAAAGUAUUAAGUGAGCCACCUGGGGAGUAC